Molecule: long non-coding RNA, 1461 nt
Organism: Homo sapiens (human)
Lineage: Eukaryota; Metazoa; Chordata; Mammalia; Primates; Hominidae
Gene: GP6-AS1
Product: GP6 antisense RNA 1
Exons: 3
Source: RefSeq, a predicted model, not a curated record
UUCGGAAGACAGGAAGUGGUGGUAGAAGACAAGAAGUGAAGUCAUACAGGAAGUAAAGUCAGAAGACAGGAAGUGAAGUAAGAAGACAGGAAGUGGUUGUAGAAGACAGGAAGUGAGGUCAUACAGGAAGUAAAAUCAGAAGACAGGAAGUGACGUCAAACCAGGAUUUGCAGUCGGAGGCAGGCAAGAAGUGAAAUCAGAAGACGGGAAGUGGCUGAGGGGAACGUCUUUUCUCUCUCCUGCUCAGCCCGAAGUGAACAGGUAGCAUCAGAGAUGAGAUCCUGGAUUGAAUGACUACUAUGGAAAGUGAUUGACCAAGAUUGUCUCCAUUCCUCCCUGGCUUCUCCACAGGGCCGCUCACCAUGGCAGCCGGCUCCAUCACCACCAGCCAGCGAGAGGGCAAGACAAGAGGGCUGACGAGGGACGCUACCAUCACAGAGGUCAGUUUUGUAACCUAACCACAAGACUAACCUACUGUCACUUCUGCCCUAUCCUACUGCUAGAAGCCAGUCGCUACAUCUCCCCCACACUCAAAGGGAGGUGGUCGCACCGUGGGGUCCACUGGAAGUUGCCUACCAGACUCAGGUCAUCCCAAACACACCCUCUAGCCAUUUGGUGUGGCAUCGGAAAGAAAACUAAGGCCAGGUACGGUGGCUCAUGCCUGUAAUCCCAACAAUUUGGGAGGCCAUGGCGGAAGGGUCACUUGAGCCCAGGAGUUUGAGACCAGCCUGGGCAACAUAGCAAAUGUUAUGUUGCCACCUCUACAAAUAAUUAGCCAAGUGUGGUGGCAUGCACCUGUAGUCCCAGAUACUCAGGAGGCUGAGGCAGGAGAAUCACAGGUCGAGGUUGUAGUGAGCUGUGACGGCACUGCACUCCAGCCUUGGCAACACAGUAAGACCUCGUCUCUAAAAAAGCAAAAAGGGCUGGGUGCACUGGCUCACACCUAUAAUCCCAGCACUUUGGGAGGCCAAGACGGGUGGAUCACCUGAGGUCAGGAGUUCAAGAUAAGCCUGGCCAACAUGGUGAUACCGUCUUUAAUUAGCCAGGUGUGGUGGUGGGCGCCUGUAAUCCCAGCUACUCGGGAGGCUGAGGCAUGAGAAUCGCUUGAACAUGGGAGACACAGGUUGCAGUGAGCUGAGAUCAUGCCAUUGCACUCCAGCCUGGGCAACAGAGCGAGACUAGGUGGCUGUUCUGUGUACUGUGGGAUAUUGAGUAGCAUCCCUGGCCUCCCCAGUAUCUCAAAUAUGAAAACAUGUUUUCUAUCUCGAUUACUGAGCUUUUCGGUGCCUCCUUCGGUUCUGCACCUAAGCUAAGAGCCCCUUCAUCUCACCCUGAUCUCUAUCCAGUUUCUAACACAGCAGUCUUGUAAGAUGCCCGGACUUAAACGGUUAUUUCCUGUGAAACAGGUGAAAGGGGCUUUCAUCUCUAAAAAGUCGGAACUUUUUUUUUUUUUUGAGACGG